This 1686-nucleotide ribosomal RNA is filed under the name Ditylenchus halictus. RNAcentral's name for it is "SSU rRNA". It matches the Rfam family "Eukaryotic small subunit ribosomal RNA". Lineage: Eukaryota; Metazoa; Nematoda; Chromadorea; Rhabditida; Anguinidae. The record is from RNAcentral.
AACGAAAUAAUCGUGAAACCGCGAACGGCUCAUUACAACAGCUGUAAUUUACUUGAUCUUGACUGAAAUUAGGAUAACUGUGGUAAUUCUGGAGCUAAUACAUGCAUCAUUGCUCUGACCUUACGGGACGAGUGCACUUAUUAGAACAAAACCAGGCGGCUUUGUCGUGUUUUGUUGACUCUGGAUAACUCAGCUAAUCGCAUGGUCUCGUACCGGCGAUUUUCCUGUCAAGUGUCUGCCUUAUCAACUUUCGAUGGUAGUGUAUAUGACUACCAUGGUUGUGACGGGUAACGGAGGAUUAGGGUUUGACUCCGGAGAAGGGGCCUUAGAAAUGGCCACUACGUCCAAGGAUGGCAGCAGGCGCGCAAAUUACUCCAUCUCAGAAUGAGGAGGUAGUGACGAGAAAUAACGAGACCGGUCUCUUUGAGGACGGUCAUUGGAAUGGGUACAAUAUAAACCCUUUAACGAGUAUCAAUGAGUGGGCAAGCCUGGUGCCAGCAGCCGCGGUAAUUCCAGCACUCAUAACACAUAGAAUUAUUGCUGUGGUUAAAAAGCUCGUAGUUGGAUCUGGGCCGUUGUGAGUCGGUGCACUUGCAUGGGUGCGUACUGAGCUCCUCGGCUUUGCAGCUUGUUCACUAGCUUGGUCUUUAUUGGCCGUAGCGGGUGACUUGCUAUUUUACUUUGAACAAAUCAGAGUGUUUAUAACAAGCGUUUCGCUUGAAUGUUUUUGCAUGGAAUAAUAGAAAAGGAUUUCGGUCCUAUUUUAUUGGUUUUAAAGACUGAAAUAAUGGUUAAUAGGGACAAACGGGGGCAUUCGUAUCGUUGCGCGAGAGGUGAAAUUCUUGGACCGUAACGAGACGUCCUUCAGCGAAAGCAAUUGCCAAGAAUGUCUUCAUUAAUCAUGAACGAGAGUAUAGAGAACGAAGGAGAUCAGAUACCUCCCUAGCCUAUACUGUAAACUAUGUCAACCAGCGAUCCGCCGGCGGAUUUUCUGCCUUGGUGGGGAGCUUGCCGGAAACGAAAGUUUUUCGAUUCCGGGGGAAUGUAUGACUGCAAAGUUGAAACUUAAAGGAAUUGACGGAAGGGCACCACCAGGAGUGGAGCCUGCGGCUUAAUUUGACUCAACACGGGAAAACUCACCCGGCCCGGACACUGUUUGGAUUGACAGAUUGAUAGCUCUUUCAUGAUUUGGUGGUUGGUGGUGCAUGGCCGUUCUUAGUUCGUGGAGCGAUUUGUCUGGUUUAUUCCGAUAACGAGCGAGACUCUAGCCUAUUAAAUAGCAGCUCGUAGAUUAAUAUUGUUGGCAGCACACUUCUUAGAGGGAUUUUCGGUGUUUAGUCGUAUGAAAUUGAGCAAUAACAGGUCUGUGAUGCCCUUAGAUGUCCGGGGCUGCACGCGCGCUACACUGGCGCAAUCAGCGUGCUUAUCCUUUCCCGUAAGGGAUUGGUAAACAAGUCAAAAUCUGCCGUGAUUGGGAUUGGAAAUUGCAAUUAUUUUCCGUAAACGAGGAAUUCCAAGUAAAUGCGAGUCAUUAGCUCGUGUUGAUUACGUCCCUGCCCUUUGUACACACCGCCCGUCGCUGCCCGGGACUGAGCCAUUUCGAGAAAUUUGGGGAUUGCCGAUUGGCGAACCUUCGGGAUUGCUUUUUGGCGAAAACCAAACUGAUCGCAUUGGCUUGAACCGGGC